CACCGCGGUUAAACGAGGGGCCCCAGUUGAUAGUAUCGCGGCGUAAAGGGUGGUUAGGGGUUGCAAACUAAUAAAGCCGAAUAGCCCUUCGGCCGUCAUACGCUUCUAGGCGCUAGAAACCCAAUAAACGAAAGUAGCUUCAAUAAAACUCACCUGACUCCACGAAAGCUGAGAAA
RNAcentral lists this ribosomal RNA (176 nucleotides) under Sinorhodeus microlepis. Its description in RNAcentral is "partial 12S rRNA". Lineage: Eukaryota; Metazoa; Chordata; Actinopteri; Cypriniformes; Acheilognathidae. The record is from RNAcentral.